Molecule: ribosomal RNA, 1848 nt
Filed under: Clostridioides difficile
Lineage: Bacteria; Bacillati; Bacillota; Clostridia; Peptostreptococcales; Peptostreptococcaceae
Description: partial 23S ribosomal RNA
Rfam family: Bacterial large subunit ribosomal RNA
Source: RNAcentral
GCACCUACCGAAGACUAUCAAACUCCGAAUGCCGUCAUCUUAUACUUGGGAGUCAGACUGUGGGUGAUAAGAUUCAUAGUCGAAAGGGCAACAGCCCAGAUCGUCAGCUAAGGUCCCUAAAUGUAAGUUAAGUGGUAAAGGAUGUGGGAUUGCACAGACAACCAGGAUGUUGGCUUAGAAGCAGCCACUCAUUCAAAGAGUGCGUAAUAGCUCACUGGUCGAGUGAUCCUGCGCCGAAGAUUUCCGGGGCUAAAACUUACUACCGAAGCUACGGCAUCAGUAAUGAUGGGUAGGGGAGCUUCCCAUACGGGUUGAAGCAUGACCGUAAGGACAUGUGGACAGUAUGGGAGUGAGAAUGUUGGCAUGAGUAGCGAGAUGUGGGUGAGAAUCCCACAGGCCGUAAACCCAAGGUUUCCAGGGGAAGGUUCGUCCGCCCUGGGUUAGUCGGGACCUAAGCUGAGGCCGAAAGGCGUAGGUGAUGGACAACAGGUUGAUAUUCCUGUACUACCGAUAACCGUUUGAGAGAAGGGAUGACACAGUAGGAUAAGCUAAGCACACUGUUGGUUAUGUGUGCCCAAGCAUUGAGGCAGUCAAAGUAGGCAAAUCCGCUUUGAUAAUGCUGGGAUGUGAUGGGGAGCGAAAUUUAGUAGCGAAGUAGCUGAUUUCACACUGUCAAGAAAAGUCUCUAUCGAGGUUAAAGGUACCCGUACCGCAAACCGACACAGGUGGGUGAGGAGAGUAUCCUAAGGCCAGCGAGAGAACUGUUGUUAAGGAACUCGGCAAAAUGACCCCGUAACUUAGGGAUAAGGGGUGCCACCAUCAGGUGGCCGCAGAGAAUAGGCCCAAGCGACUGUUUACCAAAAACAUAGGUUUCUGCUAAGUCGCAAGACGAUGUAUAGGAGCUGACGCCUGCCCGGUGCUGGAAGGUUAAGGGGAUCUGUUAGAGCAAUCGAAGCAGUGAACUUAAGCCCCAGUAAACGGCGGCCGUAACUAUAACGGUCCUAAGGUAGCGAAAUUCCUUGUCGGGUAAGUUCCGACCCGCACGAAAGGCGUAACGAUUUGGGCACUGUCUCAACAACAGACUCGGUGAAAUUGUAAUUCCGGUGAAGAUGCCGGAUACCUGCGACAGGACGGAAAGACCCCAUGGAGCUUUACUGUAGCUUGACAUUGGGUCUUGGUACUACAUGUACAGGAUAGGUGGGAGGCUUUGAAACCAGGACGCCAGUUUUGGCGGAGCCAUCCUUGGGAUACCACCCUUGUAGUACUGGGACUCUAACCAUAGGCCAUGAAUCUGGUCUUGGGACACUGUCAGGUGGGCAGUUUGACUGGGGCGGUCGCCUCCCAAAAGGUAACGGAGGCGCUCAAAGGUUCUCUCAGUACGGUCGGAAAUCGUACGUAGAGUGUAAAGGCAAAAGAGAGCUUGAUUGCAAGACAUACAGGUCGAGCAAGGAUGAAAAUCGGACUUAGUGAUCCGGUGGUUCUGCGUGGAAGGGCCAUCGCUCAACGGAUAAAAGCUACCCUGGGGAUAACAGGCUUAUCUCCCCCAAGAGUCCACAUCGACGGGGAGGUUUGGCACCUCGAUGUCGGCUCAUCACAUCCUGGGGCUGUAGUAGGUCCCAAGGGUUGGGCUGUUCGCCCAUUAAAGUGGUACGCGAGCUGGGUUCAGAACGUCGUGAGACAGUUCGGUCCCUAUCCGUCGCAGGCGUAGGAAAUUUGAGAAGACCUGUCCUUAGUACGAGAGGACCGGGAUGGACGUACCUCUGGUGUACCAGUUGUUCUGCCAAGGGCAUGGCUGGGUAGCUAUGUACGGAAUGGAUAAGCGCUGAAAGCAUCUAAGCGCGAAGCCAA